GACGAACGCUGGCGGCGUGCUUAACACAUGCAAGUCGAGCGGUAAGGCCCUUUCGGGGGUACGACGAGCGGCGAACGGGUGAGUAACACGUGGGUGACCUGCCCUCAGCUCUGGGAUAAGCCUGGGAAACCGGGUCUAAUACUGGAUAUGACUCCAUGACGCAUGUUGUGGGGUGGAAAGCCUUGUGCGGCUGAGGAUGGGCCCGCGGCCUAUCAGCUUGUUGGUGGGGUGAUGGCCUACCAAGGCGACGACGGGUAGCCGGCCUGAGAGGGCGACCGGCCACACUGGGACUGAGACACGGCCCAGACUCCUACGGGAGGCAGCAGUGGGGAAUCUUGCGCAAUGGGCGAAAGCCUGACGCAGCGACGCCGCGUGAGGGAUGACGGCCUCGG
RNAcentral lists this ribosomal RNA (392 nucleotides) under uncultured bacterium. RNAcentral describes it as "bacterial SSU rRNA". It matches the Rfam family "Bacterial small subunit ribosomal RNA", at positions 28 to 420 of the family's 1533-position model. The record is from RNAcentral.